Molecule: ribosomal RNA, 326 nt
Filed under: uncultured eukaryote
Lineage: Eukaryota
Description: partial 18S ribosomal RNA
Rfam family: Eukaryotic small subunit ribosomal RNA
Source: RNAcentral
CCCUUAGAUGUUCUGGGCUGCACGCGCGCUACACUGAUGCGAUCAACAAGUUUUUCCUAUGUCGAUAGACACGGGUAAUCUUUUGAACUCGCAUCGUGAUGGGGAUAGAUUAUUGUAAUUAUUAAUCUUCAACGAGGAAUUCCUAGUAGGUGCAAAUCAUCAGUUUGCAUCGAUUACGUCCCUGCCCUUUGUACACACCGCCCGUCGCUCCUACCGAUUGAGUGGUCCGGUGAGGCUUUGGGAUCUGAGCGGAAAGAGCGUUUCGCUGUUUCUGCCCGGAAAACUCAGUCGAACCUUAUCAUUUAGAGGAAGGAGAAGUCGUAACA